UAUUAUCUUAUAUACAUAUAUAAUUAUAUGUGCUAAAUUAACUAAAAUCUAGAAGCUAAAUAUCAUUUAUUUUGUUGGUUGCUAAUAACUAUAUGAAUUUUGUCACGAAUUAUAACUUGGC
Long non-coding RNA from Drosophila navojoa, 121 nucleotides. The record is from RefSeq and is a predicted model, not a curated record. Lineage: Eukaryota; Metazoa; Arthropoda; Insecta; Diptera; Drosophilidae.